UAGGGAAUCUUCCGCAAUGGACGAAAGUCUGACGGAGCAACGCCGCGUGAGUGAAGAAGGAUUUCGGUUCGUAAAACUCUGUUGUUAGGGAAGAAAAAAUGUAUAGUAACUAUAUACAAAAGAGACGGUACCUAACCAGAAAGCCACGGCUAACUACGUGCCAGCAGCCGCGGUAAUACGUAGGUGGCAAGCGUUGUCCGGAAUUAUUGGGCGUAAAGCGCGCGCAGGGGGUUUAGAAAGUCUGAUGUGAAAGCCCACGGCUCAACCGUGGAGGGUCAUCGGAAACUAAUAAACUUGAGUGCAGGAGAGAAAAGUGGAAUUCCUAGUGUAGCGGUGAAAUGCGUAGAGAUUAGGGGGGACACCGGUGGCGAAAGCGGCUCUCUGGUCUGUAACUGGCGCUGAGGCUCGAAAGCGUGGGGAGCGAACAGG
RNAcentral lists this ribosomal RNA (429 nucleotides) under Verrucomicrobiota bacterium. RNAcentral's name for it is "Verrucomicrobia bacterium partial 16S ribosomal RNA". It matches the Rfam family "Bacterial small subunit ribosomal RNA", at positions 355 to 776 of the family's 1533-position model. Lineage: Bacteria; Pseudomonadati; Verrucomicrobiota. The record is from RNAcentral.